GAAAUGCGAUAAUUAAUGUGAAUUGCAGAAUUCAGUGAAUCAUCGAGUCUUUGAACGCACAUUGCGCCCCCUGGUAUUCCGGGGGGCAUGCCUGUCCGAGCGUCAUUGCUGCCCUCAAGCACGGCUUGUGUGUUGGGCUUCCGUCCCUGGCAACGGGGACGGGCCCAUAAGGCAGUGGCGGCACCAUGUCUGGUCCUCGAGCGUAUGGGGCUUUGUCACCCGCUCCCGUAGGUCCAGCUGGCAGCUAGCCUCGCAACCAAUCUUUUUAACCAGGUUGACCUCGGAUCAGGUAGGGAUACCCGCUGAACUUAAGC
Molecule: unclassified non-coding RNA, 314 nt
Filed under: plant metagenome
Description: partial contains 5.8S ribosomal RNA, internal transcribed spacer 2, and large subunit ribosomal RNA
Rfam family: 5.8S ribosomal RNA (bases 1-105)
Source: RNAcentral